This 497-nucleotide ribosomal RNA is filed under the name uncultured bacterium. Its description in RNAcentral is "partial 16S ribosomal RNA". It matches the Rfam family "Bacterial small subunit ribosomal RNA", at positions 28 to 507 of the family's 1533-position model. The record is from RNAcentral.
GAUGAACGCUGGCGGCGUGCCUAAUACACGCAAGUCGAGCGAACGGACGAGAGGCUUGCUUCUCUGAUGUUAGCGGCGGACGGGUGAGUAACACGUGGAUAACCUACCUAUAAGACUGGGAUAACUUCGGGAAACCGGAGCUAAUACCGGAUAAUAUUUUGAACCGCAUGGUUCAAAAGUGAAAGACGGUCUUGCUGUCACUUAUAGAUGGAUCCGCGCUGCAUUAGCUAGUUGGUAAGGUAACGGCUUACCAAGGCAACGAUGCAUAGCCGACCUGAGAGGGUGAUCGGCCACACUGGAACUGAGACACGGUCCAGACUCCUACGGGAGGCAGCAGUAGGGAAUCUUCCGCAAUGGGCGAAAGCCUGACGGAGCAACGCCGCGUGAGUGAUGAAGGUCUUCGGAUCGUAAAACUCUGUUAUUAGGGAAGAACAUAUGUGUAAGUAACUGUGCACAUCUUGACGGUACCUAAUCAGAAAGCCACGGCUAACUACGUG